AGAGGAGUCAGAUGGCUGCUGCAAGGACCAGGAGCAGUCAGUGCUUAGAGGAGCUGCCUAUGAGAAACAUCGAGGAGAGUUCAGGUACCCAAGCUGUUUUUUAGAAGGAGCUAAAGAUGCUCAGCCUGCACACAAUGGAUGAAGCCCAGAAUGGGACAUAAAUUGCUUUGAAGGAAGCCUGGAUCAACGUGGUGGCACUGCUGAGCUGAUAAACAAGGCCACGGAGCUGGGAAAGCACCAGAGAGGAAAUCCCAUGAAGGAAUAAAUUACAGUGACACCUACUAGUGUUGGUACUGCUAAAGGCUUCUGCUGGAAUGCAAAGUUCCUAGCUCAAGAUCAAUUAUCCAAGGACAUAAAGAAGAAAAAGACAGUCACAGUAUUUGUCUGCUUCUCAAACUACCCAAGAUGUGAAACUGGUUUUGCUUGCGGUGACAUGCCUAGUAAUGCAAUAGGUUCCUUGACUCAUGAGUUUGGCCUAUGAGACAGGACAUCCUGUGUGAUUUCAGCAAGUCCAUAUGGUUCUCCAGAGCUUUUCCCAAGCCCUGGUCCUCAGUCCUGACCCUGGCAUUGAUGCCAUCCAGAAAAACAAAUUCCAGUGUGUUGAUACAAAAUAGAUCCCUGGGUUUGAUGCUGAAUUCGACAACCACCUAAAGCAACUGU
Molecule: long non-coding RNA, 660 nt
Organism: Zonotrichia leucophrys gambelii
Lineage: Eukaryota; Metazoa; Chordata; Aves; Passeriformes; Passerellidae
Exons: 6
Source: RefSeq, a predicted model, not a curated record